RNAcentral lists this ribosomal RNA (455 nucleotides) under uncultured bacterium. Its description in RNAcentral is "bacterial SSU rRNA". It matches the Rfam family "Bacterial small subunit ribosomal RNA", at positions 340 to 786 of the family's 1533-position model. The record is from RNAcentral.
UACGGGAGGCAGCAGUAGGGAAUCUUCCGCAAUGGACGAAAGUCUGACGGAGCAACGCCGCGUGAACGAUGAAGGCUUUCGGGUCGUAAAGUUCUGUUGUUAGGGAGAACAAGUACCGGAGUAACUGCCGGUACCUUGACGGUACCUAACCAGAAAGCCACGGCUAACUACGUGCCAGCAGCCGCGGUAAUACGUAGGUGGCAAGCGUUGUCCGGAAUUAUUGGGCGUAAAGCGCGCGCAGGCGGUCCUUUUAAGUCUGAUGUGAAAGCCCACGGCUCAACCGUGGAGGGUCAUUGGAAACUGGGGGACUUGAGUGCAGAAGAGGAGAGUGGAAUUCCACGUGUAGCGGUGAAAUGCGUAGAGAUGUGGAGGAACACCAGUGGCGAAGGCGACUCUCUGGUCUGUAACUGACGCUGAGGCGCGAAAGCGUGGGGAGCGAACAGGGAUUAGAUACC